CUUUACACUAUGGGAGGAUGCAUUGGAUUCAAGCUAGGAAGAGUGGUUUGACUGUGGCCAGAGGCUGCCAUGUUGGCUGAGCCGUCUCCAGUUACAUGGAAAGAGAACAUAGAGAAAGGAGGAGAAGGAGACAGGAGAUGAACACUGACACAGAGAAAUCGAAACACCUAUGGAGACAUCCAGAGAAAUGGAGAAAGGCCUGGACACCUCCCUUGAGUCUGUUCCCAGAGCAUGUUAGAAUCCCAGGUUCAGAGGACGCCUUGCAUGGCCUUGCUCCAGCCUCCACGCUCCCAAAGCUUCAGCCUGAUAGAGACAUUCCUCAGCCUUUCCUGGAAAACAAGUAGUGUGUGCACCUCUACCUGCUGUGAGUCUUGAGGGAGGAAAUAAGAGAAGACAAGAGGAGACCGCAGCGGGAUCAGGCAAAUUUUCCUUCCUCCUAUGGCUGUGAGACAGUGGCUUCCUGGCAAGACAUCA
This 474-nucleotide long non-coding RNA is filed under the name Macaca mulatta (Rhesus monkey). Its description in RNAcentral is "lncRNA (ENSMMUG00000052027.1)". Lineage: Eukaryota; Metazoa; Chordata; Mammalia; Primates; Cercopithecidae. The record is from RNAcentral.